GUGAGGGUUUCAAUAAUGGCUUUGCACCCAUUGGUGAACGAUAGGUCUGACUUAACUAACCAAUGUGCUAAUAACUGUUAGAUGAGGCCACAGGACUUAGAGACCAAGCCCACUGCAUCUUACUUAGAGAAGCAAUGGAUAAAGUAUUAUCCACUCAUUAGUCUGUGCUCACCAAUAACUAUUAGGUGAGGUGUGUAUAGAUUAAUGAGACCAUAGUACCCACUUGAAAUCGAUCGC
RNAcentral lists this long non-coding RNA (237 nucleotides) under Elaeis guineensis (African oil palm). Its description in RNAcentral is "long non-coding RNA (EGUI_LNC010841)". Lineage: Eukaryota; Viridiplantae; Streptophyta; Magnoliopsida; Arecales; Arecaceae. The record is from RNAcentral.